GGUCCCGUAGCUCAAAUCGGAAGAGCGCCCGUGUCGGAAUGGGGAGGUUGCAGGUUCGAGUCCUGUCGGGACCGCCA
This 77-nucleotide transfer RNA is filed under the name Gammaproteobacteria bacterium. Its description in RNAcentral is "tRNA-OTHER". It matches the Rfam family "tRNA". Rfam says of the family: Transfer RNA (tRNA) molecules are approximately 80 nucleotides in length. Their secondary structure includes four short double-helical elements and three loops (D, anti-codon, and T loops). The record is from RNAcentral. Lineage: Bacteria; Pseudomonadati; Pseudomonadota; Gammaproteobacteria.